RNAcentral lists this ribosomal RNA (323 nucleotides) under uncultured eukaryote. RNAcentral's name for it is "partial 18S ribosomal RNA". It matches the Rfam family "Eukaryotic small subunit ribosomal RNA", at positions 1470 to 1796 of the family's 1831-position model. The record is from RNAcentral.
CCCUUAGAUGUUCUGGGCCGCACGCGCGCUACACUGAUGCAUUCAACGAGUUUCUUCCUGGUCCGAGAGGAAUGGGUAACCUUUUGAAAGUGCAUCGUGAUAGGGAUAGACUAUUGCAAUUAUUGGUCUUCAACGAGGAAUUCCUAGUAGACGUAGUUCAUCAGACUGCAUCGAUUACGUCCCUGCCCUUUGUACACACCGCCCGUCGCUCCUACCGAUUGAAUGCUCAGGUGAGCCAUUCGGACUUUCAUCAUGCUGGUUUCCAGUUUUGAUGAAGGAAAGUCUUGCGAACCUUAUCAUUUAGAGGAGGAGAAGUCGUAACA